GGCUCCGUGGCGGGUGGUCCGCGUCUGCACCUCAUAAUGUUACAGUUGCAAGAAAUUUCGCAGAAGCUGCCUGUUCGAAUCAGGCCGGAGCCU
Molecule: non-coding RNA, 93 nt
Organism: Mycena epipterygia
Lineage: Eukaryota; Fungi; Basidiomycota; Agaricomycetes; Agaricales; Mycenaceae
Source: the annotation of a GenBank genome assembly